GGGGAUGUAGCUCAGUGGUAGAGCACUUGCCUAGCCUGUUCAAAGUCCUGGGUUUGAUUCCCAGUACUGCCA
This 72-nucleotide transfer RNA is filed under the name Urocitellus parryii (Arctic ground squirrel). Its description in RNAcentral is "Spermophilus parryii (Arctic ground squirrel) tRNA". It matches the Rfam family "tRNA". Rfam says of the family: Transfer RNA (tRNA) molecules are approximately 80 nucleotides in length. Their secondary structure includes four short double-helical elements and three loops (D, anti-codon, and T loops). Lineage: Eukaryota; Metazoa; Chordata; Mammalia; Rodentia; Sciuridae. The record is from Rfam by way of RNAcentral. RNAcentral also lists the same sequence under 1 other name.